This is a non-coding RNA of Hordeum vulgare subsp. vulgare (domesticated barley), 120 nucleotides long. The record is from Rfam. Lineage: Eukaryota; Viridiplantae; Streptophyta; Magnoliopsida; Poales; Poaceae.
UUGCAUUGGUGCAAAAAGGAAAAGCUGUUCCUUGAAGCAGCAGCGGCAAGACAACCGUAGAGAUAGAUCCACAGAUGAAUGUUUGAACUGCUGCUUGUCUACUAAUUCUAUCUCACAUUU